GAUGAACGCUGGCGGCGUGCCUAAUACAUGCAAGUAGAACGCUGAAGGAGGAGCUUGCUCUUCUGGAUGAGUUGCGAACGGGUGAGUAACGCGUAGGUAACCUGCCUGGUAGCGGGGGAUAACUAUUGGAAACGAUAGCUAAUACCGCAUGACAACAGUUAUUGCAUGAUAACUGUUUAAAAGGGGCAACUGCUCCACUACCAGAUGGACCUGCGUUGUAUUAGCUAGUUGGUGAGGUAACGGCUCACCAAGGCGACGAUACAUAGCCGACCUGAGAGGGUGAUCGGCCACACUGAGAGUGAGACACGGCCCAGACUCCUACGGGAGUCAGCAGUAGGGAAUCGUCGGCAAUGGACGGAAGUCUGACCGAGCAACGCCGCGUGAGUGAAGAGGGUUUUCGGAUCGUAAAGCUCUGUUGUAAGAGAAGAACGAGUGUGAGAGUGGAAAGUUCACACUGUGACGGUAUCUUACCAGAAAGGGACGGCUAACUACGUG
This 495-nucleotide ribosomal RNA is filed under the name uncultured bacterium. RNAcentral describes it as "partial 16S ribosomal RNA". It matches the Rfam family "Bacterial small subunit ribosomal RNA", at positions 28 to 507 of the family's 1533-position model. The record is from RNAcentral.